This 845-nucleotide long non-coding RNA is filed under the name Physcomitrium patens. RNAcentral's name for it is "long non-coding RNA (PPAT_LNC000940)". The record is from RNAcentral. Lineage: Eukaryota; Viridiplantae; Streptophyta; Bryopsida; Funariales; Funariaceae.
UGAGAUUAGAGGUGAGUUGAACUUCUUUUAUGAUGACAAUAAAUCGCUGCUGAUUGGAGGGCAGGAUAAGAAUGGGAUCUUGCCGGGUUGUGGUGGAUAGAAAGAUGACUUUGGGACAUGGUGUGUCAAUGACACCAAUGUUUGUGUCACUAGCAAGGAAUAGGCGGCUGAUGGUGUUGGUAGGUAUUGCUGCUAGCUAAGCUAGCACUUAAUUUGCCUAUGUGUGGAUUGAGGCAGUAGAGGGAUUAGCAACUAGCACUGUGAUUUAUACACAGCAGUGGCAAUCAUAUAGGCCAUGGGUUACUAUUGCACGACAUUGUUCAAAUAGCCAUUGCCAAGGUUGAAUCUUGACGAAGUGAUUGGUAGGGCAAGCAAAAGAUGUGUUAGUGUGGUAGACAUGUUGCAAGAACAGUGGUAUUGUAAAGUCAUGUGAUGCAUUGUUGUGUAGUAAUACAACUAUAUAAUGAAAGAAAAAAAGAAGGAUUACAUUAUAGAUGAGCUUAAAUGAAAAUACUUAAGCAAAUUAUCAUAGAAUAUAUAGAUAACAAAUAAAGAGGUAGUAAAAAUUAAUAAAUGCUAAUGUUGUUUUCUUGAAGAAGAGACUUCUAUUUACUUUGAAGGAGGAUAAGGGAACCAAAUCAAAGUAAUUGAAACAAAUAAUUGAUAUAGACAUUUUUAGGAAAAAAUUAAGAAUAGAAUUUAGCAAAAAUUACCUCAAAAUAUGAAAGAGGUCAAAAUCAGACCUUGAGGCAUAUAACCAUGCAUCUACAAUAAUUCCAAGGUUUUUUUGGUUAAUAAAAAAGUAGGAUUUGAAAACAAACUUAUGAGAAGAUUUUUGCAAGUUA